GACGAACGCUGGCGGCGUGCUUAACACAUGCAAGUCGAACGGUGAAGCGCCUUCCUUUUUGGUGGGUGUGGAUGAGUGGCGAACGGGUGAGUAACACGUGAGUAACCUGCCCCCUUCUUCUGGAUAACCGCAUGAAAGUGUGGCUAAUACGGGAUAUUCUGGGUCUGUCGCAUGAUGGGUCUGGGAAAGAUAUUGUUUCGGUGGGGGAUGGGCUCGCGGCCUAUCAGCUUGUUGCUGGGGUGAUGGCCUACCAAGGCGGUGACGGGUAGCCGGCCUGAGAGGGAUGACGGUAACGCUAGGACUGAGACACGGCCCUUAAUACAACGGGAGGCAGCAGUGGGGAAUAUUGCACCAUGGGGGCGAGGCUGUUGCAGCAUCGCCGCGUGAGGGAUGGAGGCCUUCGGGUUGUGAACCUCUUUCGCCAGUGAAGCAGGCCUGCCUCGUUUGUGCGUUGGUUGACGGUAGCUAGAUAAGAAGCGCCGGCUAACUACGUG
This 494-nucleotide ribosomal RNA is filed under the name uncultured bacterium. RNAcentral describes it as "partial 16S ribosomal RNA". It matches the Rfam family "Bacterial small subunit ribosomal RNA", at positions 28 to 507 of the family's 1533-position model. The record is from RNAcentral.